GAAGUGUUUUAUGCAUGUAAACAGUCUGCAAAGUCAAAACCCUCAAAGUACACCCUGUAGCGAGUAAACUCUAACACAGAAAAUACCUCGCCCAAAAGCCUCGUUGGAGAUUUCUCAGUUUCCAUUGUUUACUUCCUGCCCCGCGUGACGUAGCUGCACCGCGUGACGUCACUUCCUCUGCCAGUCGACCAUAUUAAGUGUCGUAAAACCUGCUUCUUUUCAAAGCUCUAUCCAGUCAUGUCGCGGAGGGUCUGUUCCCUGUAUUGUGUGGAGAAAUCCACAAUGUUUGCAGUACCGAAGGCAGAACCACGACGAAGUCAGUGGUUGACAUUCCUUUUUAACACUGUUCCAGCUGAUUUACCAGCCGGUACUGUUGUGUGUGCGCGGCAUUUCACGGACCUUAGCUUCGGACUUGCUGUAAAGCUGAUAUUGGAGGACGAUGCUGUUCCUACUUUGUUUGGACCAGUGGGAGAUUCGGGUACACAACCUGUAAGUAUUCAUUGUGGUUUGUGUAUUUAUUCUGUUUAAAACAAACAAUGUAUCUACCACGACUCUGUAAAUGCUAUGCUACCGAGGUAAACACGAGGGCUACCUAGCAUUCCCAGACCUCAACACCGAUGUUAGCACAUGGCCUUACAUGUAUCUCAUAGCAGGAGAAUGUCUGCAAACACACACGAAAUACUCAUAGACAGUAUACUCCGGGUGAUUUAACCGUACGGUCAGUAAUUACAGUUGCCGUUCGUGUAUUCUACCGAGCUACCAUUAAUAAGCUAGAAGCUCUAACCUAGAGAUGUUAUGAAAAACAUUGUUUUCAUGCCAGCUACAAUGAAUGAAUGACCGAACGUAGCAGACUAACUGUAUAAUAUUGCAAUUGUAAGAUGUUCUUGCUAAGCCUAGACUAGCUGUUAAACUGCAUAUUAGGUUAGCAUAUUAGCUGGCAAGCUAACUGUGUUGAUUACUGAUAGAUAAUCAUAGCUGGAGAAUUUCGUCUGCAAACACACAUGAAAUACUCAUAGACAGUAUACUCUGGCUUAUGUACGGCCAGUCGCCAAACAUAAUUACAUUGAAGUUGGCGGUCCUAGCAGCUAAUGCUACUGAGCUACAAAGAGUCUGAAAUAUUACGCUACAUGGGAAAAGGUAGCAGACUAUCUGUAGAACAUUGUAAAAGUGUUGCUUUUAUGAAAUUGACUGUUUUCCUCGGAUACAAAAUUAAUUGUAUGAAUACUAUGUGUAUCUUUCUUAGAGUACAUCACAGCAGGAACACAAUACCCACCGCUCCAGUACAGUCGGAUGUCAAACAGACCGUCCACAGACUGUUUGUGUGGGAACUCAGAGGGUUGAGACACGGUCUGUGGGAACACAGACAGUGGAAUGUAAAGUGUCCGCCAUUUCUGUUGCUACACAGUUGGCCCGGGGAACACUGAAAUCGGCACACGUGAGAAGCAAAGGCAUCCAGGCCACGGUGUCUUUCAAAAGUGUUGGCACUAAAACUUCCACCUACACAGAAAUCCCCUUGUCCUCUACACCAAUAAAGGGCCCAGGAUUGGGACCUAGCAAGAGACCUCGACUAGAGUUGGAGCAGGAACAAGGAGAGACUUCGAUUGAAUUUGAAGAGACUCUGGAUUCGAGUUACCACCCUGAUGAUACUGUAGAAGAAUCUGACGUAUCACUUCAGACACGAUCCACGCACAGUGACGCAAAGUACAUUGUGUUUGAAAGCUGCCUCGGACAGCUGUUUGAAAAAUUUCCGUUUUGUAAGAUAGACUGUGAUGUCCAAAAACGAAAAAAUGGGACUUUUGUGGCGUUCAAACAGCGUUGUCCAAACUGCACUUACUUCAGAGAAUGGGAGAGCCAGCCCAUCAUUGGAAGUACCCCGGUUGGCAACUUACAAUUAUCUGCUGCUACAUACUUCACUGGUGCUUCCUUCUUCCAACUAAAAAAAGAUAUGCAGAGCCAUGCAGCUGGAGAUCUUCCAGUAUGAGACCUUCAGGAGGCAUGCUAGGCAUUAUCUGGAGCCUGCUAUUAUCCACAAGUGGAAAACUGAUCAGCUGAAGAUUUUCCAGCAACUACACCACCAGGGGGGAAAGGUCACAGUUGCAGGAGAUAUGAGAGCAGACUUUCCAGGCCACUCAGCUAAGUUUGGGAGCUACACACUAAUGCACCUGGGAAGCAACACCAUUGUGGACUUCUAGCUUGUUCAGUGUACGUGGGUGAGCUGAUGAGGCUGGUGUUUGAAGAAGUCUUUGAGGACCCAACACCCUUUGUGGAGGAGAUGAAUAAAAUCAACAUCCCAAAGGACCUGUCCACUCAAUUUGACAGGCCCUCAAAGGAGGAAGUGGUAGCCCGCCAUGUCUCAGGUUUUAGUCUAGGGGCGGUCGGAAGCCCACGUACUGUCCAGCCAGAUCAGGGAACUCCUGGCUUAUCCGGCGGACCACACACGACAGGAUGACCACUCUGAUUCCUCGUCCCAAAAAGCCCCAGCACCAGCUUACGAAGCUGCGAUAGACCAGAUGCCUAAAACGCCUAUAAGAGGAGGAAUGGAUGAUAACAUAUAUGUGCUGUCCUGUUUUUCACCCUUACCCUCUGGCUGCUUGAACAACUGAAUUUCCCCACAGGGAUUAAUAAAGGUCCAUCUUAUCUCAUACAGUGUGUAUAUAUACAUAUGAUCAAUUUGUACAUUUAUCAAAAUAAAGUUUGAUGGAACUACUUGAUAGCCUUUCUUCCCUGAAUUAUUUGCUCCUAGAUCAUUCAUAUAUAGCAAACCAUUAUUUGAUUUUUCAUCUAAUACAGUAGUAGUUUAUUAUAGCUAAAAAUAACUUGCUCUUCUUCAGUUCUACGCCUCAAAGGUCCAUAAUCAAACCGAUAAAUAUUGUGGAGGUUCUGCAGGGUGUAGGGAUUGAGGCAGUUUGGUUCUAGUCUGGGGUGGUCAACCAUGCACACAAUGGUUUCUGGGACUUUGUGCAUUCGUGUUAAAACCUAUAGGAGGAUAAGAUAUUUGUAACAUAAUACGUUUAGCAAUUAAAUCCAACUAUGGCGAGGUUUACAAAAUAAACAUUAAAUUACUAUAGAAUAAAUAAAAGGGCAUAUAGUCUAUUGACUUGACAAGUAUGUAUGGUGUAUAUAAUGUUGUGUGCUACUGUUGGUGUUUUUGUAUUUGUUGUGGUGACACGCUGUUUUGACCAUAAUUCACCUUUGGUAUAGUGUUGCCACACGGACCCUUUAGUGUGUGCUCUUAGGUUUAGCUUGUCAUUCCUAGCUUGUCAGACAGAGCAGACAUGUAUUUUACCUGAUUCUAAACACACCGCCCCCGACUCCCUUUCAUCGGCACUACACUGUCACCUUUCUAAUCUCCCUGCAACAGAGGUCUUCCACCUCGGUAGGCAUUACUGCGCAGUUUCCACACGUGCACCUAAAUAACAGUUGGAAAGUUUGGUUAGUCAGCGGACACACUUGUUACUGUGAUGUAGAUAAAUGAUGACGUUCUAACAUUACAUCUGAAAUGUAGCAGCUAUACAAAAUUAAAACGUUCCACUGUGAAACCGCCUGCUGUAUUCUUGUUUGGGACGGUGGAUCAGGUCCAUCACGGUCCGUUUCACUCUCUGGGUCGGACUCCGGUUCGUACAUAUAUGGCUUUACUGACGCCAUUUCAUUUCUGCUACUCCGCUCAGAGCCGAAAAAACACAAUGGGCUAAAUGGGCUAAGUACCCGCUAAACCACUUUACGGCAGAUGUCAACAGGGGCAGAGCCUCUCUGGUGGUUGACAAAUCAGAACAGAGGGGCCGAGCUGACCAAUCGGAGCACACUGGGCUCACAGGGAGGGGGGGCAAGAGCUGCAACGAGCCGUUUAGUGGAGAGAGUGAAUACACGUAGUUUACAGAGAUGCUGUAUGCGAAACAAUGUGAGUUUGGAAAAUUGCACAGUAUAAAUCUAUUCUAGUAGACAUCAACAAUGGAAUUAUGAUCAGUGGAAAUGGCCAUGACAUGGGACCUUUAAAUAAAUGUGAAAAAUACUGAAGAGCUUCCACAUUCCGGCCCCUAAUUGUGAGAAUCACAAUUACCCUUAUGUAAAACAUAUAAGGGAGCCAUUCUCUCUAUCCAUGAGCCAUAGUGUCUUCUGUGUCACCUUCUCUGUAUCCACU
Molecule: long non-coding RNA, 4138 nt
Organism: Gymnodraco acuticeps
Lineage: Eukaryota; Metazoa; Chordata; Actinopteri; Perciformes; Bathydraconidae
Exons: 6
Source: RefSeq, a predicted model, not a curated record